This 73-nucleotide transfer RNA is filed under the name Apaloderma vittatum (bar-tailed trogon). It matches the Rfam family "tRNA". From Rfam's summary of the family: Transfer RNA (tRNA) molecules are approximately 80 nucleotides in length. Their secondary structure includes four short double-helical elements and three loops (D, anti-codon, and T loops). The record is from Rfam by way of RNAcentral. Lineage: Eukaryota; Metazoa; Chordata; Aves; Trogoniformes; Trogonidae.
GGCCGGUUAGCUCAGUCAGUUGAGCAUAGCGCUAACACCGCUGAGGUUACGGGUUCGAUUCCCGUUCCGUCCC